UUUGACCUCAAAUCAGGUAC
Molecule: ribosomal RNA, 20 nt
Filed under: Candida tropicalis
Lineage: Eukaryota; Fungi; Ascomycota; Pichiomycetes; Serinales; Debaryomycetaceae
Description: partial 28S ribosomal RNA
Source: RNAcentral